Molecule: transfer RNA, 75 nt
Filed under: Acidobacteriota bacterium
Lineage: Bacteria; Pseudomonadati; Acidobacteriota
Description: tRNA-Arg
Rfam family: tRNA
About the family: Transfer RNA (tRNA) molecules are approximately 80 nucleotides in length. Their secondary structure includes four short double-helical elements and three loops (D, anti-codon, and T loops).
Source: RNAcentral
AGCCGAUUAGCUCAGCGGAAAGAGAGCGGCUGUCUUCUAAACAGCAGGUCGUCGGUUCGAGUCCGACAUCGGCUA